This 301-nucleotide ribosomal RNA is filed under the name uncultured bacterium. RNAcentral describes it as "partial 16S ribosomal RNA". It matches the Rfam family "Bacterial small subunit ribosomal RNA", at positions 509 to 807 of the family's 1533-position model. The record is from RNAcentral.
CAGCCGCCACGGUAAUACGUAGGGUGCGAGCGUUAAUCGGAAUUACUGGGCGUAAAGCGUGCGCAGGCGAUUGUGCAAGACAGAUGUGAAAUCCCCGAGCUUAACUUGGGAACUGCAUUUGUGACUGCACGGCUAGAGUGUGUCAGAGGGGGGUAGAAUUCCACGUGUAGCAGUGAAAUGCGUAGAUAUGUGGAGGAAUACCGAUGGCGAAGGCAGCCCCCUGGGAUAACACUGACGCUCAUGCACGAAAGCGUGGGGAGCAAACAGGAUUAGAUACCCCCGUAGUCCCUGUCUCUUAUAC